AAAGGUGAAUUAUGUUUUUGCAAUUAAAUUAUUUUUUUGGUGAAAACGUCCGUGUUUUUAUAAAACAAUGAAUUGGUGAAAUUGUAACUUUUCCUAAGUUGUUUCCCACUUAAGUGUUAUUAUUUGAAAAUAGCGUCGAAAAUCAAAAAACGUUUAAUAUACAAUCUAGUAACUGAAGCUUUCAGAAAAGUUUGCUACANUUAAAAAUCGGAGCCAGUUUACUAGAAUAAAACGUGUCCACAGACUAGAACAAAGAAAAAAAAGAAAUAAUUUUUUCUUUUUAGAUUCAAAGUGGAGCGAAGAAGCUUAUAGUUUUACAAAGUUACCUCACCGGAGGACUUGAUAAGAUUUUUACGUGUAGCAA
This is a non-coding RNA of Cinara cedri, 364 nucleotides long. Lineage: Eukaryota; Metazoa; Arthropoda; Insecta; Hemiptera; Aphididae. The record is from the annotation of a GenBank genome assembly.